Molecule: ribosomal RNA, 445 nt
Filed under: uncultured bacterium
Lineage: Bacteria
Description: SSU rRNA
Rfam family: Bacterial small subunit ribosomal RNA
Source: RNAcentral
AGAGCGAACGCUGGCGGCAGGCUUAACACAUGCAAGUCGAACGGACCCUUCGGGGUUAGUGGCGGACGGGUGAGUAACACGUGGGAACGUGCCCUUUGGUUCGGAACAACACAGGGAAACUUGUGCUAAUACCGGAUGUGCCCUUCGGGGGAAAGAUUUAUCGCCAUUGGAGCGGCCCGCGUCUGAUUAGCUAGUUGGUGAGGUAACGGCUCACCAAGGCGACGAUCAGUAGCUGGUCUGAGAGGAUGAUCAGCCUCACUGGGACUGAGACACGGCCCAGACUCCUACGGGAGGCAGCAGUGGGGAAUAUUGGACAAUGGGCGCAAGCCUGAUCCAGCCAUGCCGCGUGGGUGAUGAAGGCCCUAGGGUUGUAAAGGCCCUUUCGGCGGGGAAGAUAAUGACGGUACCGCAGAAGAAGCCCGGCUAACUUCGCGCCAGCAGCCGC